This 494-nucleotide ribosomal RNA is filed under the name uncultured bacterium. RNAcentral's name for it is "bacterial SSU rRNA". It matches the Rfam family "Bacterial small subunit ribosomal RNA", at positions 29 to 518 of the family's 1533-position model. The record is from RNAcentral.
AUUGAACGCUGGCGGCAUGCCUUACACAUGCAAGUCGAACGGCAGCACGGGAGCAAUCCUGGUGGCGAGUGGCGAACGGGUGAGUAAUAUAUCGGAACGUGCCCAGUAGUGGGGGAUAGCCCGGCGAAAGCCGGAUUAAUACCGCAUACGACCUGAGGGUGAAAGCGGGGGAUCGCAAGACCUCGCGCUAUUGGAGCGGCCGAUAUCAGAUUAGCUAGUUGGUGGGGUAAAGGCCUACCAAGGCUACGAUCUGUAGUUGGUCUGAGAGGACGACCAGCCACACUGGGACUGAGACACGGCCCAGACUCCUACGGGAGGCAGCAGUGGGGAAUUUUGGACAAUGGGCGCAAGCCUGAUCCAGCAAUGCCGCGUGCAGGAAGAAGGCCUCGGGUUGUAAACUGCUUUGUCUAGGAGAAAUCUUCUGGGCUAAUACCCCGGGAGGAUGACGGUACCUGAAGAAUAAGACACCGGCUAACUACGUGCCAGCAGCCGAC